CUCUAGGUAAGUGGUACAUGUAAAAGUAACAUGUCACAUGAACGCCAGGACCCAAGGAUUUCCAGCAUAACAUUGCCUUCAUCUUCCUUCUUCCAUAGUGAAUCUCUUCUCCAGGUAAAUGAUGCACACACACCUGAUCAUCCACCUUAUCUAAAAGAAAAUAUGACUCUUCAUACCAGGCAACCUUCUUCCAUUGCUCUGUGGUCCAGUUCUGAUGCUC
This is a non-coding RNA of Pelobates cultripes (western spadefoot toad), 220 nucleotides long. Lineage: Eukaryota; Metazoa; Chordata; Amphibia; Anura; Pelobatidae. The record is from the annotation of a GenBank genome assembly.